AAAAAAAUGAAAUAAAGAUAUUAUGUCCAUCUACAACUAAGAAAUAUUUUUAAAAAAUAGGGCUGGGGAUGUGGCUCUGUGAUUGAGUGCCCCUGAGUUCAAUCCCCAGUACCCCUCCCCUCAAAAAAAUCUCUGAUCAGGGGCAGAACAGACAGACAUAUAACUAUUAAGACACCCAAGGAAAAUGUUGUUCAUUUAAUUUAUAUUAAUGAAGAAAUACAAAUUCCAUUUUUCUACACUCAACACAGAACACUUCUUUGGUCAUGGUCAAAUGGUGGGUUUUUUCCACACCAAGCACUUCAACUUUCUGCACACGAGCUGGGUAUCCUAUGAUUCACUUUUAACUUCUGAUAUUAUCAACCUGGAAUUUGAAUCAAAUCCCACAAGUUAAUGGCUCUGCCUCAUAAGAUUAUCCCCACUUCUGAUGCCAAUCACAAGUUCCAGAUUGUGACCUAUUUUUGACUAAGUGACUAUAAAAUCAGGGAUCUUUUAACCCUCCUUGCGUUUGGUAAUUUGCUGUGGUGGUGGAACAGAGAAUUCAGGGAAACUUUAUUUCAAUUUAGCCAUUCAUUAUAAAGGAUAUUACAACAGAUGCACAUGGACAGCCAAAUGAAGAAGUACACAAGAGUUGGUUCAUGAGCGUCCUCUGAGUGCAGGAAUUUCUAUUCCUGUAGAGUUGGAGUACAGAAUCUUCCUAGUUCAAGGAUUUAUUCACCAACCCAGAAACUCAUCAAAUCUGGGGCAGAAAAUAAAGUUAUGAGACUAAGAUAAAGCAAAUCCAAAGUAUAAUUCCUGGAGAUUUGUUUAUCCUGGUAGAAAGACGGAGUCUGUAGAAUGGGUAUGUAGGAUCUUUCAUCCUGCUAAGAGGCUGAUGUGUUAACAACUGUUAGGAAUUUAGAGCCUUUCAGAAUUACAAUUUAAAGUAUUGGGUCUUUAUAUACCCUAGCUGUGGUAUACGAUGAAGUUUUCAGUUCCAGUGACAACUCUUGAAUCCUUGGAAUUUUCUGAGUUUCUUUUGUUGUUCAUAUGAGCCUCUUCAGAUGGCCGCAGUUUAUACUGAGUUUAAGCACUUAGGAGAGGGGCCCAAAGGAAACCUCUGGAGGGGCCGAUCACGAGAAAGACCAGCUGGUUAGAGGGCUGGAACUUUCAGCCAAUGCAAAGACCUCUGGGAAGAAAGGAGAGAUUCUAGAGAUGUGAGGGUCAGGGAGUAGGAGUAAUAGGGAUUGAACCCAGGGUUACUCUUACUGAGCUACAUCCCCAGCCCUUUUUAAGACUGGGUCUUGCUAAGUGGCCCAGGCUGGCCUUGAAUUUGCAGUCCUCCUGCCUCAGUAUCCUGAGUAGCUGAGAUUACAGAUGUGCUGCAAUAUACCCAGAUAAGUUCUAUAUAAUCUAUAGUAAGUUUUAUAAAAACUCUUGAACAAGAUUUGAUAAUCAAGAACAACUCCUUCAUUAUUCAGAGAAUCAGAGGUUAUAUAUUCUACUCUUACCAUGUAGCAGUUUGAAAAAUCAGCAUCACUCUGACAUCACAAGUUUCCUUCUCAACCCUAAAUGAUCAUAGUUCCAUUUUAUUUUUUUUAAUAUUUUUUUUUUAGUUCCACAUAGUACCUUAUUUUAAUGUGGUGCUGAGGACUGAACCCAGGGCCUUGCACAUGCUAGGCAAGUGCUCUACCACUGAGCCACAACCCCAGCAGCCCCCAUCAUUCCAUUUUAAAAGCCUUUACUUACUAGCUUCCCACUCCAUUCCUUCCCAAAUUCUCUCUAUCAGAGCCUUUGCCUCUAAUGCAUUGAUAUCCAAGUUUAAAUGCAGAGAUGGUGAAUUUGCAGCAAUAAGGCAAAUGAGCUUUUGGGGAUACAGUUGAACUGCCUGGAGCUGCAAUAUUGAAACACAUUUCAAGAAUUCAAAGGUUAGCCAGACACGGUGGUGCACACCUAUAAUCCCAGCAGCUCGCAAGGCUGAGGCAGGAGGAUCACAAGUUCAAAGCCAGCCUCAGCAAUGUAAGGUGCUAAACAACUCAGUGAGACCCUGUUUCUAAAUAAAAUACAAAAUAGGGCUGGGGAUGUGGCUCAGUGGCCAAGCAUCCCCAAGUUCAAUCCCCAGUAACCGGCCCCCCCAAAAUAUUCAAAGGUUGACAAAUACCAAUUCCACCUGAGAUGUGACCAGAUGAAACCAUGAGCUGGUCUAAAAAGCUUGGAAAGUAUUCAAAGGAACCUAAAGACACAAUAUAAACAUAACAAAAGGAAGGCAAAGCAAGGAAACCUAAUAUAGAAAAUAGAAAGUAGGGUAAGGGAAAUGAAAUAGAGAAAAGCUUGGGACACAGUAGACCCUAGUCAGUAAACAGUAUAUUUAAGAAGACCUUACUGGGGCGGGGGUUGUGGCUCAGUGGCAGAGCGCUUGCCUAGUAUGUGUGAGGCACUGGGCUUGAUUCUCAGCAUCACAUGUAAAUAAAUAAAAUAAAGGUCCACAGACAACUAAAAAAAAAAAAUAAGACCUUACUGCCAAGCACAGUGAAUAACAGGCAGAGCUGGAGUACAAUGUUAAACAAUGAGACACAACAUACUAGAAAUUAAAACAGAACCUAAAGAGAUGCUUUUAGGGGGAAAGAAAACUUGCCCCAUAGAAGUCUGUGUUCCCACCCUAUGGAGAGAUAGGUAAUCAGAUCAUUGAUAUUAUGCACUGAAUAAUGAAUAUGGAGCUGGGAAAGCACAAACUAGCUGAGUGACUGAGUGACCUUUUCACCUUUCUUUACCUCAAUUUUCCCAUGCAUGAAAUGGGGUGACACUCCCAUUUCCAAAGUGUAGACAAAGUUGAGAAAACAUGCCAAAAGUAUUUAAAGCCCAAAUAAACGCAACUGCAUGACUGACAUCACUACUUAAACAUCUUAUAAGCAAUCUCAAACUUAGCAGUAGUUAUUUUGUGGUGCUGCGGAUUGAACCACAGUCUCAUACAUGCUAGGAGAAUGCUCUGGCGCUGAGCUGCAAGCCAGGCUCCAACCAUUGUAAACUUAAUAGAGCUAAGAUGAAAUUCUCAAUUAUCCCGGAGCAAAACCUGUUCUUCCUGUUUCCUACCUCAGUAAAUGUCAUAAUUUCAGUACUCUAUGGGAACCUUUCUUCCUUUCUUAUCCAGGCCAUAUAUGGGUCCAAUCCAUACAGAUUAACCUCAUAUAUACCGUAUCGUUAUUCAUUCACUUCCAUCUGCACUGCCGCCACCCUCUUCUAAGCUACAGUCAUCUUUCACAUCGUACUGAAGCGACCAAAAGGGUCUAUAGGUUUCUACUUUUGCCCUCUCCAAUCCAAGCAAGGGCUCUAAAGUCUUUAAAAUAUUUAGAGAAAAAAGCCAAACAGCUUAAAAAGCCACUACGUGACCCCUUCCCCUGCUGCUUCCUCAAACCACACUCCCCAACCCAUGCUCCAGCACUGGUUAAUUUUGUAGUUCCUCAGAUGUGCUAUGCGCCUCGCUAACCAACUUCUAUUCAUCUUUUACGCCUCAUUUCAGAGUUGGAUCUCCCAUCAUCCACACUCAGAGCCUUAAGUACAAUUUAUCUGUACAAUUAGAUUAUUACACCAAGAUAUUAGAAGCCGGGCGCGGUGGCGCACACCUGUAAUCCCAUAGACUCAGGAGGCUGAGACAGGAGGAUUUGCGAGUUCAAAGCCAGCCUCAGCAACUUGGCGAGCCACUUAGCAACUCAGCGAGACCCUGCCUCUAAAUGAAAUACAAAAAAGGGCUGGGACUGUGGUCCAGUAGUUGAGCACCCCUGGAUUCAAUCCCCGGUACCACCACCACCACCCCCCGCCAAAAAAACCCGAAAACGAUUAUAAACCAAACUAGACAGUAAAUUCCAACAGGGUAGGCACUGUUACCUGUCUGAUGCACUCCUGUAUCCUCAGGAAAACAGAAUGUAGCACACGGUCUGGGUUCAAAUAUUUGAAUGAACCUGAGAUGAGAGGGACCAAAUGGCCAACUAAAAAAAUUUAGCUCAAAUAGAAAAAAGUUCUAAUAUAUACAGCUACCAAUUUUGCUCCAGACCAAACAUACAUGGAGUCAAGACUAGACAGCUCAGACCAAACUAUAUACAUGGAGUCAAGAUACCGCACUCGUGCUUUCUUAAACCUCACACAAUUCCAAGUCCAGAGUGAACCCAUACAGAGCGACAAGGAACGUGCCUCCUUCGCCUCUGUGGAUGAGGGUCCCCGACCAGCUAGUUCAGGCUCCUGAUCCGGGCUCACUGGCCAGGAUUCUGAACACUAGUCCUCGAAGCAGUGACGCACACAGGCCCAAACACUUCGUCAGCGAAGUCGCUUAGCCCGAGACGUUCCUUUGAGCCUUCUGAAGCAACACUGGACGUGCGCGUCGAGCCCCAAGCUCCUCUCUGGUGUCGCAAAGCUUCAGGUGCCUACCCUGUUCACUCAAGAAAAAGCAAAAGACGACAACCCCCGUGCCUCGCCCUUUAAGAGCCGCCCCCAUUGGAGCCUGGCGAAGCUCUAAGCAAAUCGUCGCGAGAGCCGCUGGCUUCCGCCCGCUUCCUACUCUCUGCAUGCCGGGACGGAAGAAACGCGGUACUUCCCGCCCCCUGCUUCUACCUCACAAGGCAGUGCGGCCGCAGCUGCAACCAAUCACCAGGCCCGUUGUAGGCCGCGGCACAAAGGGCCAAUGGAAAGUCGCGGCGCGCGCAGAGCUUCUCUUCAUCAGAACCAGCCCCCUCCCUUCCGCCCGCCGCCUUCCACUCCGCCCCUGGCGGAGGAAGUGAUAUCACAGGCCC
RNAcentral lists this long non-coding RNA (4757 nucleotides) under Marmota monax (woodchuck). The record is from RNAcentral. Lineage: Eukaryota; Metazoa; Chordata; Mammalia; Rodentia; Sciuridae.